Molecule: non-coding RNA, 570 nt
Organism: Labrus bergylta (ballan wrasse)
Lineage: Eukaryota; Metazoa; Chordata; Actinopteri; Labriformes; Labridae
Source: RefSeq, a predicted model, not a curated record
GUCAUCUACUCGUUCUUCAUCAUGUGUUUGUUUCAGACAGCAGAGUCACAGCUGUGUGACAUCACACACCGUGGAGGGAAGCUGCUCGGCCUGCUGGGUAAAAAUCAGCCCACAUGAGCCAAUCAGGAGAAAGUUCCCCGACUCACAUGGAGGAAGAGGAAGAGGAGGAGAGGAGGAGGAGGAGGAGGAGGAGGAGGAGGAGUGUUGUGGGCAGCUGUUGCUUUCUCCCUGUUCAGCAGCUCUGAUGAAGACCUCAGAGAUGAAGCUCAGAGGAAGGAGGAUGAGUUGGUCCUGCUGCUGAAGAAGGCGAAGCUCAGUGUGUAUCGAGGACAGCUGCAGGCCGCAUCCACUUUCCUCCAUCAGGCCGUCGUGUUGGCUCAUCAGACCCACAACAACCAGGCCAUCAUCUACACCUACAGCCAGAUGGCGAAUCUGGCGUACGUUCAGGGUCAGCUGGACAGUGCAGAAAAACUCUUCAAAGCAUCCAUGAGCUUCAUGCUGUCAGGAGGAACCCCACAGGUGUGUGUGUGUGUGUGUGUGUGUGUGUGUGUGUGUGUGUGUGUGUGUGUG